GCCAGGCAUGGUGGCACGUGCCUGUAGUCCCAGCUACUCGGGAGGCUGAGGUGGGAAGAUCACUUGAGCCCAGGAGUUCUGGGCUGCAGAGAGCUAUGCCAAUCGGUUGUCCACACUAAGUUCGGCAUCAAUAUGGUGACCUCCCGGGAGUGAGGGACCACCAGUUUGCCUAAGGAGGGGUGAACUGGCCCAGGUUGGAAACAGAGAAGGUCAAAACUCCCACGCGGAUCAGUAGUGGGAUCGUGCCUGUGAAUAGCCACUGAACUCCAGCCUGGGCAACAUAGCGAGACCCCAUCUCUU
Molecule: unclassified non-coding RNA, 300 nt
Organism: Callithrix jacchus (white-tufted-ear marmoset)
Lineage: Eukaryota; Metazoa; Chordata; Mammalia; Primates; Cebidae
Rfam family: Metazoan signal recognition particle RNA
About the family: The signal recognition particle (SRP) is a universally conserved ribonucleoprotein.
Source: Ensembl